CCCUUAGAUGUUCUGGGCUGCACGCGCGCUACACUGAUGAAUUCAACGAGCACUAACCUGUGCCGAAAGGUUCGGGUAAUCUUGUGAAAUUUCAUCGUGAUGGGGAUUGAUUAUUGCAAUUUUUAAUCAUAAACGAGGAAUGCCUAGUAAGCGUGAGUCAUCAGCUCACGUUGAUUACGUCCCUGCCCUUUGUACACACCGCCCGUCGCUCCUACCGAUUGAAUGUGCCAGUGAAAAGUUCGGAUUGGAGAUAGGAAACGGCAACGUAUCCUAUUUCCGAGAAAAUCUUUAAACUUUCCCAUUUAGAGGAAGGAGAAGUCGUAACA
RNAcentral lists this ribosomal RNA (326 nucleotides) under uncultured eukaryote. RNAcentral's name for it is "partial 18S ribosomal RNA". It matches the Rfam family "Eukaryotic small subunit ribosomal RNA", at positions 1470 to 1796 of the family's 1831-position model. The record is from RNAcentral.